GAUGAACGCUGGCGGCGUGCCUAAUACAUGCAAGUCGAGCGAACGGACGAGAAGCUUGCUUUUCUGAUGUUAGCGGCGGACGGGUGAGUAACACGUGGAUAACCUACCUAUAAGACUGGGAUAACUUCGGGAAACCGGAGCUAAUACCGGAUAAUAUUUUGAACCGCAUGGUUCAAAAGUGAAAGACGGUCUUGCUGUCACUUAUAGAUGGAUCCGCGCUGCAUUAGCUAGUUGGUAAGGUAACGGCUUACCAAGGCAACGAUGCAUAGCCGACCUGAGAGGGUGAUCGGCCACACUGGAACUGAAACACGGUCCAGACUCCUACGGGAGGCAGCAGUAGGGAAUCUUCCGCAAUGGGCGAAAGCCUGACGGAGCAACGCCGCGUGAGUGAUGAAGGUCUUCGGAUCGUAAAACUCUGUUAUUAGGGAAGAACAUAUGUGUAAGUAACUGUGCACAUCUUGACGGUACCUAGUCAGAAAGCCACGGCUAACUACGUG
RNAcentral lists this ribosomal RNA (497 nucleotides) under uncultured bacterium. Its description in RNAcentral is "partial 16S ribosomal RNA". It matches the Rfam family "Bacterial small subunit ribosomal RNA", at positions 28 to 507 of the family's 1533-position model. The record is from RNAcentral.